RNAcentral lists this transfer RNA (78 nucleotides) under Thermococcus chitonophagus. Its description in RNAcentral is "tRNA-Leu". Lineage: Archaea; Methanobacteriati; Methanobacteriota; Thermococci; Thermococcales; Thermococcaceae. The record is from RNAcentral. RNAcentral also lists the same sequence under 3 other names.
CGGGGCGUGAUGAACCUUUGGAGCCCCGAGGGCCGGAGAAACCCGCGGACCGGGGUUCAAAUCCCCGCGCCCCCACCA